AAUGAUGACAUCUGUUUCAACUCUCGACGCUCGAUGGCCGACGAGCCAUGCCGAACCGAAUGAUUCCGAGAGUUGACGAACGACACUCGGCUUUUGCUUAGCUCCUAUUGGCUAAGGGUUGACGACGGGAAAAUCAUACGAAAAAUACCGUUUCUGACAGAUUCAUGACAUGAUAUUACGAUAUGUCAGUUGUACGUGGACCGAUUUUAUUGAUUUUGGUUUUAUUCGAAAGCUUAUAUGCGAUUUACAUCAGAAAAAUAUAUUGUUAAUGUAAUAGAAUAUAUUGCAGGCGUGAUGAGAUAUUAAUGAAAGAAGUUUCAAGUUAGGUUGGAAUGGACCAUCUCUCCUGUAAAAAAUACGUGGUAGCUCCAACGCCAGGUGUAUACGCGGUGACGGGUAAUUUUUCAUGUACUUGGCGCCGAGACGCUACCGCGUCACUAGAUUAUUUGUAUUCAAUUAAUCUUUACGAAAUAUAAGCGAAUUAUCUGUAUUCGAUUACUCUUUACGAAAUCAGAAGUGGGAUACGAACAGUUUUACGAUGAGUGCGCCAGAAGAAAUCCCUAAAGCGAGUGAUGUUGUUUUCGAUGCUGAAAAACUGGUAGACCCAAAUAUUUUGAUUACACAAUUAUUCAGCUUAUUGCAUCGUAAUAAUGAAGCAUCUAUUUCUACUGCCAAAUCAGCAGUAGCAAGCAGAAAUUUGUUCGAAAAUCGCUUAGAAAGGUUACCGAAGCCAUUUGAUCCGAAAACAGGAAGUACAUCUUUAAAUAUUUGGUGUAAAUAUGUAGAUAGAUGGUUGAAAAUUAAUUCUGUUGAGAAGGAGGAGCUUCUUUACAUUUACGACAGACUUUUUGUGGGAAAGGCUGCUUAAUGGUAUAUCGAAAGAACAAAUCAUUUAACAUCUGCGAAUGACGUAGAACAAUGGUCAACUUUGAGGGCUGCUUUAAUUGAUAAAUUUGGUGUUGAUACAAUCACUCUAUUGUAUCUAUGUGUCAAAAAUUAACAAAUUGCACUUCAAACAUUGAUACUUACAAAGCAUUGGAGCCCUUUAUGAACGAAGUAUCACAACAGCCGCAUAAAGACAUUGACCAGAUAAUUUGUCUAUUGGCACUGCAAUUAUGGAGAUCAUCAUUGCAGGCACCUCUGAUAUCUGUUGAAGGGACGUCUGAAAGGAAACUUCCAACAAAAGAUCAGCUAACAAGUAAGCUGAUACUACUAGAUGCUCGACACGUGACACAAACCAAGAUCCAAAAACGAAAAGUUGCUGAGGAUAAUAUUUACGAGGCAAAAAGAUUUCGUGGAUACUGUAAUAACUGUGGAAAAUUGGUACAUCGCCGAGAGGAGUGCAGAUGGAAAAAUAUAAUUUCAUCAAAGUAUAGAUUAGCUUCCAAUGCUAAGGACCAGGUUCAACUAAGUGGGAACAAAGGAGAAAAUCAUAGCAGGAAUAUUGUUAAAUGUUGCAAUUGUAACGAAAAUGGACAUAUUUCAACUGAAUGUCCCAAGAAAAUUGCCAAAGCUACAAAAUCAGUCAGUCUUUGCAACAAAAUUGCUAUGAACCACGUCGCCUUUGAAUCUGGUAAGAUCAUUCCAUUUAUAUUUGAUACUGAUUCAGAUUGUUCAUUGGUAAGAUACCAUUCUUGAUGAAAUGUAAUUAUUUUUAGUGUGUUUGUUUUUUUAAUGUGGUAAGAAUCGCACUUAUGCGCAGAUGGAUGCGCGAUAUUCUUUUGUUUUUUUGUUUUUCCUCUGUUGUUCUGCAUUGUAAAAUAGUGGUCUGCACUAUGUGUGGUCUGUUUUAUUCUGUUUGGCUAAAUUGUCUUCUAUAAACUGCAUUAUUCUUUCUUUGCUUUUUUUUCCUUUUAAUAAACAGUAAAACAAGAAUUCUAUAUGUUUAAUUUAUUUGUAUUCUUUACACACUAAGCGAGGUAAGAUUACAACAAUUCUAUUAAUGAGCUACCUGAGCGUGAUAUUUGCGAAAAAGUAAACGAAACUGUGGCAUUAAAGGGUAUUUCUAAUAAUGUCAUAUUUAGCCAUUUAAAAAUUAAAAGCGAGGUUUUCCUUUUUGGAAUUAAAAUCAUAUUAUGGAAAAGACAUAUUUCAAGACAAUCACACAUUAUCUGUAAUGAUUGACUCGACGGAAUUUGAAUUUACUCGAAAAAAAAUGUCAGCAAAUUUAAAUGUAAAUUUUGAUAAAAUCAUUACAGACUUGACAAACGAAGACGAUUUAAUGAAAUUACGCGUAGUACUAAACAAAUUUAAAGAAUUUUUUAUAUUGGGAACACCUAAGAGACGAGUUAAGGUGGCAUCAUUGGAUAUUAGAUUGAUUGAUCCUAACAAAUAUGUUCAUUCAAAGCCACGACACUUAGCUCCACCAGAAAGAGAAAUAGUUCGAACGAAAAUAGCAGAUCUUCUAAAAAACAACAUUAUUCGGGAAAGUAAUUCACCUUUUGCUAGCUCUGUGGUUUUAGUUGACAAGAAAGAUGGUUCUAAGCGAUUAUGUGUAGAUUAUAGAGCUCUUAAUGCAAACACAAUACCUGACAAGUAUCCGUUACCGUUAAUAAGUGAUUUGAUCAAUAAUUUAAAUGUUGCAUGUCAUUUUGCAAUACUUGAUACGGCUUCAGGAUUUCAUCAAAUUCCAAUAACAAACGAAUCGAUAGAAAAAACGACAUUCGCACUCCAGAUGGACAAUAUAAAUAUUUGACAAUGCCAUUUGGUUUAAAAAACUCCCCACCUGUGUAUCAGCGUGCUAUUGAAAAAGCAUUAGGAGUGUGACGUGGGACGAGAUUCCCGCGUCACAGUUUUUAAUUUUAUUUUUUUAUUGUAAUUAUUGAAUGUUAAUGGGUUAAUUAACUUAAACAAUAUUAUAUAUAUGAUAUUUUACUUGCCUAUCGACAAGGUCAGGUCUUUGUCGCAACAGUCCCGUACAGGCUCUGACUCGUAUGUGAAUCUUUCGUGAUAGUAGGAUAGCCAAUUAAGAUUGAAGAGGUACAUUAAAUUUUGGAAACGUUUUUACUAUUGAAAUAACACUGCUGAAUUUAAUUUAUUAUGAUUUAGAUUAUAACAAAUAUGUUGAGGUACAAGAUUCUUAUUUCUGCGUUAAAUUAUGCUCUUUCUUUCAUUCCUUUGUGGUUGUAAAUAUAUAUAUUACAUAUUGUCGGGAAACAUACUAUUCAUCGGGGAUAAUUAAUUAGGGUUCCCCCGGAAAUGAUGAAACAUUUAUCAGUUAUCCCCGAUGAUCACAACUUUGGAAAAUAUUGCGCUUGAAAAGAAACAACUCACCACUAAGUUUUUCGUACGGAUUUAUCGGUGUAUUGAAUCGCACGGAUGUUGGUCGUCGAAUAUCCUGAACGAGGUAGAAGCACACACACACACACACGGGAAAAAUUAUGAUUUAUGUAAUAAACGGAUAAUUAAUACUUGCAAAAAACAAUUGAUUUAAAAUUAAAAUAUUUUAAAUAAAAUUUAGUAAUUAAGAAAAAUUCAAGAAUGAAAUUAGGUUAUUUAACGAGGAAUUGAGUCUCUGCCUACCACUCACAUUUCACAAUGAAUUUAACCGGUAAAACAACUCUGCUCUAAAUAAUUCGCUCGGACUUGCUCGCGCUCGAUGCGACUGUACAAUGAGAAGUGAUUUUGACUUCGCUGUUUCGUGCGCAACUCGGUUCGAAGUUUACAAAAAUGCUUGCGCUGCAUUCUCGGAGGUGCCGAACCAGAGUGCAGCCCUAGCGAUAAUGAAUUUUAAUUGGCUAGACUUCUAGGCUGACUAAGGUGUCCGUGUGCUCCGCCCAAAUCCUAAGAUUUCUAUGCUGUUUGUACAAUCCAAUUCAGGAGUUUUAAUUUCACGGGUACCAUGCGGUCGGCCAACGGGAGCGAAAGAGAAAGAAAAAGAAAAAGCACUUAAUUUAAAAGAAUAUGCAUUUAUCCUUGUAGAUGCUUUCACUAAAUUUACUUUGCUAUACAGAACCUCCACUCUUACAGCUGAAGCAGCUGUUGCGUUUCUUAAAAUCACAAUAUCCAUUUUUGGUACACCUAACCGCAUUAUUACAGAUCAGGAAACUUCUUUUUCUGGGGGAAAAUUUCGCGAUUAUUGUGAAGAGAAUCAUAUUGAAUUACAUUUUAUAGCAACAGGUAAUAGUAGCGCGAAUGGCCAAGUUGAAAGGGUGAUGAGCUUGUUAAAAAAUUUAUUGUCAGUAGCUGAAACUAGCUGUGAUGAACGUUGGCAAGAUGGACUUGCUGAUGUUCAAUUGAUCAUAAACAGUACGCAACAUAGAGUUACAAAAUAUUCUCCAUCCGAAUUAUUGUUUGGACGACAGAUAAAUUUACCUACAAUAAACAAAAUCACUAUACAUGACACAGAAAAAUUAAAUUUAGAUACUAUACGCGAUAAGGCCGACAGUAACAUUAAACAGAAUGCGAUAUACAAAAAAAAAUAGAUUCGAUAACAAAAGCAGACGGCUUACGAAAUCAUUUACUGCAAACGAUUUAUGCUUACUGAAAAUUAAUGAAAGACAUUCUACAAAGUUGAGACAGGAGUUUAAAGGCCAUAUAAAGUGGUGACAGAUUUAGGGCACAAGUCAUAUGAGUUGCCAAGUCCGACAACUAAACAUAAAAUAAGACAAACAGAAAAAAAUAUGAAGCACAUAUCACAAAGUGAUAUUUGUAGUGACAAAGAAAAUGAUGCUUCUUCAAAUGAGGGUGAUAUCAUUGAAGUAGAUGAUGAAUUAUAAGAUGAUUUAAAAAUCAUAAGGUGUGUAUUAAUUUGUAAAAAGGUAAUUAGAAAGGGCUGGAGUAUCCAAAAAGGAGCUAAACCCUAAAAAAAAAGUGUGUACUAACCCGCAAAAUUUAAUCUGAAGGGGCUGGGGCAUCCAAUGAAGGAGCCAAACCCUAAACUGAUAAAGAUGGUAUAAAUAGAAUAGUGAACUGACGAAAAGAUUUGUGAAUGGAGGUCUCGAUAGACACAACAGCAUCCUGCACAUUGGUAUCCUAGGUCCACUGUGCAUUGUGGUGUGUUGAUUCGAGAUCGAAGGGCAUGGGAUGCUGUGCAUUCUGAUAUCGUAUAUGCUAGCACAUCAGUAGUCAUUAUACUACAUGCUUGUUCUGAGCAUCAUGGGAUGUUGGUUGCUUGUCCUGUCUUGAGGGCGAUCUAGUCUCAAAUCUUAGAUAGUUAUUCUAAAGUGCAAUAGAUGUUAAUGUUGGAAAAAGAUUAUUGUAUUAUAAAAAAAAGUGUAUUAGACCUGCGCAAACACUGAAAGACCUGACUAUGUUAUAGUCAGGAUGGCAGAGAUAGCCGUAUUGGCAAACACACACACACACACACACAAAAUAAAAAUAAAAUAAAAAAUUCAUUAAGGACGACAACGAUAGCUAUAUUUGUCAAAUGAAAAGAAAUAAAUAAAUUUAUUAAAUUAUUUAUGUUUCUUCAUAUCUUACAGGCCAUGAAUCAACUAAAUAAACAAAUUACUGUAACGCCGAGGACGGCUUUCAGUCAGGAUUGGCCGUGUCGGCAAUCGAUAUUGGAUUGAAACGUCUCGAUACUUUCGAUAGAUCGUUGUAAGGAGUCGAGUUAGUUACAUCGAGAAACAAGGGAAGAAGCGAAGUGAACAGAGGCGAGAAGAAAACAAGAGAUAUAAGAAAACGUAAAAUCGAGAAGGUUUCGAUCGAUUCCAAAGGCUGGAACAAUAGAUAUUCGCGUUUAUAUGAAACCGACGCCCAACGGUAUUCCAGCGACCUGAAACCAUUGGAAAAAGUUUGAUAACGUACUGAACACGUAGAAUUGCACUAAAUCGCAUCGUUUAACACAGUUUCAAUCGAUUCCAUAGGCUGGAACACUCGAUAUUCGCGAGUGAGAUUAUCAUUUUUUUAACUUAGCAUACCACUUCCGCAUAAAAGCAGCACAUAUUCUCUUUGCUGUUUCCUCGGUGUGAUGAAUGGUGUGUUACAAUGUACUUUGUUUCUUUCCAUAUUCAAGGUAAUAUAAAAUUGACUAGAAUUAAUGUAUCCUAACCAAUCUUUUUCCUAAUGAUGCUUGUAUAAUUCUCUUUGGUAAAUGUUUACAUUAGAUAAGGCAUCUCCGAUGACCUUGACCUUGACAUAUGUUAUCAAGGGUACCCUCCUGAGUAACAUCCAAGAAGUUUUAGUCGUCGCUCGCUUUUUAUUAAAAAGUUAUUAAUAAAAAUGUAUUACAAGUAUUAUACUAGAAUCUGCGCAUACAUACGCUCCGAUGAACUUGACCUUGACAUAUGUUGUUAAGGCAUCAUUUUCAUCAACUUUUUCCUGUAUAGGACAUUUACUAAAUGUCCUUAUUCUACAAUUACACUUUAAUGAAUUACUCAAAUAAGUUACUAAGGUUUUCACGAUUUUCUGUUUUGUAUCACAUUAUCCACAAAAUGGAAUUUAAGAAACAUCAAUUAUAAAUAAUAGUAGAUAAAAGAGUUUUGCAAGUCGUUUUCUUUAAAUAAGUUUUAUAAUUUGAUCAGUUAAAAAUUCUCGCCACGUGUUUCAUUAUGUGUGACAUAUUCAGAAUAUUCAGUUGGUUUCUUUGAUUCAUUUAAUUUGUAUACAGUUGAAUAUACGCGUGUAAUUAUAUAACUAAAUAAAUAAUAUCACUACAAAUGUAGCGUGGUCUGUGGCGGACGGUUUCCAACUGAAUGGGUGAUUGCGAACAUGUUAGGAGAGAAUGGUAGUGACAGAAAUGAAUAGAACUGAUGCAAUUAAAUUCCAUUCGGUAUGGUGUUCUACUUGAAACUCGACAAAGGCCAUGAUAUUAUUUCGAUGUAUUAUGUCUGAUCAUCUGAUAGCAUAGUUGUAACGAUGUUUUCUGUAGUGAUGAGUGACGAGGCAAGUGAAAUGUGUUUUGACCAAGGGGAAAGCUGUGACAUUCUAAUAUUUUAAUGUUCGAAUAUUUUAUAAGUUAUGUUUUAUAAAUAAACGAUUUUCCAAAAGA
This is a long non-coding RNA of Hylaeus volcanicus, 6934 nucleotides long. RefSeq lists it as uncharacterized. The record is from RefSeq and is a predicted model, not a curated record. Lineage: Eukaryota; Metazoa; Arthropoda; Insecta; Hymenoptera; Colletidae. The transcript is spliced from 2 exons.